CCUACGGGAGGCAGCAGUGAGGAAUAUUGGUCAAUGGGCGCGAGCCUGAACCAGCCAAGUAGCGUGAAGGAUGACUGCCCUACGGGUUGUAAACUUCUUUUAUAAGGGAAUAAAGUGAGGCACGUGUGCCUUUUUGUAUGUACUUUAUGAAUAAGGAUCGGCUAACUCCGUGCCAGCAGCCGCGGUAAUACGGAGGAUCCGAGCGUUAUCCGGAUUUAUUGGGUUUAAAGGUAGAGUAGAUGGGUUUGUAAGUCAGUUGUGAAAGUUUGAGGCUCAACCGUAAAAUUGCAAUUGAGACUGGCAGGCUUGAGUGCAGUUGAGGUAGGCGGAAUGCGUGGUGUAGCGGUGAAAUGCAUAGAUAUCACGAAGAACGCCGAUUGCGAAGGCAGCUUACUAAACUGUCACUGACAGUGAGGCACGAAAGUGUGGGGAUCAAACAGGAGUAGAUACCCUUGUAGUC
RNAcentral lists this ribosomal RNA (460 nucleotides) under uncultured bacterium. RNAcentral's name for it is "partial 16S ribosomal RNA". It matches the Rfam family "Bacterial small subunit ribosomal RNA", at positions 338 to 795 of the family's 1533-position model. The record is from RNAcentral.